This 803-nucleotide ribosomal RNA is filed under the name Parmotrema praesorediosum. Its description in RNAcentral is "SSU rRNA". It matches the Rfam family "Bacterial small subunit ribosomal RNA", at positions 361 to 1163 of the family's 1533-position model. Lineage: Eukaryota; Fungi; Ascomycota; Lecanoromycetes; Lecanorales; Parmeliaceae. The record is from RNAcentral.
AUAUUGGUCAAUAGCCUAACGGCUGAACCAGCAACUUGGAGGAAUGUAUAGCAAUAGCUACUUGUAUCAUUAAUGAUGCAAGCUCGACUAUGUUGAAUAAAGUUCUAGGUAGAAUUAUGAUAAUGACAUUGUCUGCCUAUGUGUCUUGACCAAAUUACGUGCCAGCAGUCGCGGUAAUACGUAGAAGACUAGUGUUAUUCAUGUUUAAUCGGUUUAAAGGGUACCUAGACGGUGAAUCAAGCUUUUAAAUAAAUAAGAAAAGGGACUAAUUCGCUAGAGUUACUUACGAGGGGGUUUUAAAGUACUGCUGGUGUAGAGAUGAAAUUCUGUCAUACCUCUUUUCGAAAGAAGAAUAACGGCACAGGUAUAGGCGAAGGCAUCCCCUUAUGUGAUAACUGACGUUGAGGGACGAAGGCUUCGUGGAACAAACAGGAUUAGGUACCCUAGUAGUUGAAGCAGAAAAUGAUGAAUGUCAUAGAUUAGACGUCUAAGUUUAUUCUAUAAAUGAAAGUGUAAGCAUUCCACCUCAGGAGUAAUUUGGCAACAUUGGAAUUGAAAUCAUUAGACCGUUUCUGAAACCAGUAGUGAAGUAUGUUGUUUAAUUUGAUAAUACGCAAAAAACCUUACCACAAUUUGAAUAUUUAUAUUGAACAUAUAUCUACAAGCGUUGCACGGCUGUCUUCAGUUAAUGUCGUGAGACUCUGGUUAGUUCCAUUAAAUUAACGUAAACCCUUACUUUAUUUUUUAUAUAGAGUAGUUCCCCGCUAGAUUGGAUAUGAUAANCGGGACUAGACANUCUCCGC